This 330-nucleotide unclassified non-coding RNA is filed under the name soil metagenome. Its description in RNAcentral is "partial contains 5.8S ribosomal RNA, internal transcribed spacer 2, and large subunit ribosomal RNA". The stretch from base 1 to 120 matches the Rfam family "5.8S ribosomal RNA", at positions 35 to 154 of the family's 154-position model. The record is from RNAcentral.
GAUGAAGAACGUAGCGAAAUGCGAUAAGUAAUGUGAAUUGCAGAAUUCAGUGAAUCAUCGAAUCUUUGAACGCACAUUGCGCCCCCUGGUAUUCCGGGGGGCAUGCCUGUUCGAGCGUCAUUUCACCACUCAAGCCUCGCUUGGUAUUGGGCAACGCGGUCCGCCGCGUGCCUCAAAUCGACCGGCUGGGUCUUCUGUCCCCUAGCGUUGUGGAAACUAUUCGCUAAAGGGUGUUCGGGAGGCUACGCCGUAAAACAACCCCAUUUCUAAGGUUGACCUCGGAUCAGGUAGGGAUACCCGCUGAACUUAAGCAUAUCAAUAAGCGGAGGA